AAUACGGAGGGUGCGAGCGUUGUCCGGAAUCAUUGGGCGUAAAGGGCGCGUAGGUGGCCCGGUCAGUCUUUGGUGAAAGCGCGGGGCUCAACCCUGCGUCGGCCAGGGAUACUGCCGCGGCUCGAGCACUGUAGAGGCAGGCGGAAUUCCGGGUGUAGCGGUGGAAUGCGUAGAGAUCCGGAAGAACACCGGUGGCGAAGGCGGCCUGCUGGGCAGUAUGGCUGACACUGAGGCGCGACAGCGUGGGGAGCAAACAGGA
Molecule: ribosomal RNA, 259 nt
Filed under: uncultured prokaryote
Description: partial 16S ribosomal RNA
Rfam family: Bacterial small subunit ribosomal RNA
Source: RNAcentral